Molecule: ribosomal RNA, 464 nt
Filed under: Vreelandella stevensii
Lineage: Bacteria; Pseudomonadati; Pseudomonadota; Gammaproteobacteria; Oceanospirillales; Halomonadaceae
Description: partial 16S ribosomal RNA
Rfam family: Bacterial small subunit ribosomal RNA
Source: RNAcentral
CCUACGGGGGGCUGCAGUGGGGAAUAUUGGACAAUGGGCGAAAGCCUGAUCCAGCCAUGCCGCGUGUGUGAAGAAGGCCUUCGGGUUGUAAAGCACUUUCAGUGGGGAAGAAAGCCUUGGGGCUAAUACCCUCGAGGAAGGACAUCACCCACAGAAGAAGCACCGGCUAACUCCGUGCCAGCAGCCGCGGUAAUACGGAGGGUGCGAGCGUUAAUCGGAAUUACUGGGCGUAAAGCGCGCGUAGGCGGUCUGAUAAGCCGGUUGUGAAAGCCCCGGGCUCAACCUGGGAACGGCAUCCGGAACUGUCAGGCUAGAGUGCAGGAGAGGAAGGUAGAAUUCCCGGUGUAGCGGUGAAAUGCGUAGAGAUCGGGAGGAAUACCAGUGGCGAAGGCGGCCUUCUGGACUGACACUGACGCUGAGGUGCGAAAGCGUGGGUAGCAAACAGGAUUAGAUACCUGGUAGUC